GUUUGAUCCUGGCUCAGAACGAACGCUGGUGGUAUGCUUAACACAUGCAAGUCGAACGGAUGAGAAUUUUAGCUUGCUAAGAUUUGAUUUAGUGGCAGACGGGUGAGUAACGCGUGGGAACCUACCUGAUAGUACGGAAUAACUGUCGGAAACGUCAGCUAAUACCGUAUAUUCUCUACGGAGGAAAGAUUUAUCGCUAUCAGAUGGGCCUGCGUUAGAUUAGGUAGUUGGUAAGGUAAUGGCUUACCAAGCCUUUGAUCUAUAGCUAGUUUGAGAGAAUGAUUAGCCACACUGGAACUGAGACACGGUCCAGACUCCUACGGGAGGCAGCAGUGGGGAAUAUUGGACAAUGGGCGCAAGCCUGAUCCAGCAAUACCACGUGGGUGAUGAAGGCCUUAGGGUUGUAAAGCUCUUUUAGCAGGGAAGAUAAUGACGGUACCUGCAGAAAAAGUCCCGGCUAACCCCGUGCCAGCAGCCGCGGUAAUACGGAGGGGGCUAGCGUUGUUCGGAAUUACUGGGCGUAAAGGGCGUGUAGGCGGUCUAUCAAGUUGGAAGUGAAAUCCCAGAGCUCAACUUUGGAAUUGCUUUCAAAACUGAUAGACUAGAGGCUGAUAGAGGAUAGUAGAAUUCUUAGUGUAGAGGUGAAAUUCUUAGAUAUUAGGAGGAAUACCAGAGGCGAAGGCGGCUAUCUGGAGCAGUACUGACGCUGAGGCGCGAAAGCAUGGGGAGCAAACAGGAUUAGAUACCCUGGUAGUCCAUGCUGUAAACGAUGAGUGCUAGAUAUCGGGAUUUAAAUUUCGGUGUCGUAGCUAACGCGUUAAGCACUCCGCCUGGGGAUUACGAUCGCAAGAUUAAAACUCAAGGGAAUUGACGGGGACCCGCACAAGCGGUGGAGCAUGCGGUUUAAUUCGAUGCUACGCGAGAAACCUUACCAACCCUUGACAUGUUAGUUUUGAGACCUAGAGAUAGGUUUCUUCAGUUCGGCUGGGCUAUCACAGGUGUUGCAUGGCUGUCGUCAGCUCGUGUCGUGAGAUGUUGGGUUAAGUCCCGCAACGAGCGCAACCCUUAUCCUUAGUUGCCAUCGAGUCAUGUCGGGCACUCUAAGGAAACUGCCAGUGAUAAGCUGGAGGAAGGUGAGGACGAAGUCAAGUCAUCAUGGCCCUUAUGGGUUGGGCUACACGCGUGCUACAAUGGUAGUGACAGCAGGACGCAAUGGGGCGACCCGGAGCAAAUCCUGAGAAGCUAUCUCAGUUCGGAUUGCACCCUGCAACUCGGGUGUAUGAAGUUGAAAUCGCUAGUAAUCGCGGAUCAGAAUGUCGCGGUGAAUACGUUCACGGGUCUUGUACACACUGCCCGUCAAGCCAUGGGAGUUGGUUCUACUCGAAGUUGGUGAGCUAACCCUUUUUGGGAAGCAGCUAACCACAGUGGGAUUGGCGACUGGGGUUAAGUCGUAACAAGGUAGCCG
RNAcentral lists this ribosomal RNA (1465 nucleotides) under uncultured bacterium. Its description in RNAcentral is "bacterial SSU rRNA". It matches the Rfam family "Bacterial small subunit ribosomal RNA". The record is from RNAcentral.